RNAcentral lists this ribosomal RNA (253 nucleotides) under uncultured bacterium. RNAcentral's name for it is "partial 16S ribosomal RNA". It matches the Rfam family "Bacterial small subunit ribosomal RNA", at positions 524 to 776 of the family's 1533-position model. The record is from RNAcentral.
UACAGAGGUCUCAAGCGUUGUUCGGAUUCAUUGGGCGUAAAGGGUGUGUAGGUGGCGCGCUAAGUCGGGUGUGAAAUUUCGGAGCUUAACUCCGAAACUGCAUUCGAUACUGGCGUGCUUGAGGACUGGAGAGGAGACUGGAAUUCAUGGUGUAGCAGUGAAAUGCGUAGAGAUCAUGAGGAAGACCAGUGGCGAAGGCGGUUCUCUGGGCCUGACCUGACGCUGAGGAGCGAAAGCGUGGGGAGCGAACAGG